This 29-nucleotide small RNA is filed under the name Bombyx mori (domestic silkworm). Its description in RNAcentral is "ovarian small RNA-14300". Lineage: Eukaryota; Metazoa; Arthropoda; Insecta; Lepidoptera; Bombycidae. The record is from RNAcentral.
CGCAAACUUGAGCUUGUUUUCGACGCCCC